CCGCGGUAAUACGUAGGUGGCAAGCGUUAUCCGGAAUUAUUGGGCGUAAAGCGCGCGUAGGCGGUUUUUUAAGUCUGAUGUGAAAGCCCACGGCUCAACCGUGGAGGGUCAUUGGAAACUGGAAAACUUGAGUGCAGAAGAGGAAAGUGGAAUUCCAUGUGUAGCGGUGAAAUGCGCAGAGAUAUGGAGGAACACCAGUGGCGAAGGCGACUUUCUGGUCUGUAACUGACGCUGAUGUGCGAAAGCGUGG
This 250-nucleotide ribosomal RNA is filed under the name uncultured bacterium. Its description in RNAcentral is "partial 16S ribosomal RNA". It matches the Rfam family "Bacterial small subunit ribosomal RNA", at positions 515 to 764 of the family's 1533-position model. The record is from RNAcentral.